This 253-nucleotide ribosomal RNA is filed under the name uncultured bacterium. RNAcentral's name for it is "partial 16S ribosomal RNA". It matches the Rfam family "Bacterial small subunit ribosomal RNA", at positions 524 to 776 of the family's 1533-position model. The record is from RNAcentral.
UACGUAGGGUGCAAGCGUUAAUCGGAAUUACUGGGCGUAAAGCGUGCGCAGGCGGUUAUGCAAGACAGAGGUGAAAUCCCCGGGCUCAACCUGGGAACUGCCUUUGUGACUGCAUGGCUAGAGUACGGUAGAGGGGGAUGGAAUUCCGCGUGUAGCAGUGAAAUGCGUAGAUAUGCGGAGGAACACCGAUGGCGAAGGCAAUCCCCUGGACCUGUACUGACGCUGAGGCGCGAAAGCGUGGGGAGCAAACAGG